GCAAGUCGAGGGGUAACGGGGAUUGCUUGCAAUCCGCUGACGACCGGCGCACGGGUGCGUAACGCGUAUGCAACCUACCUUCUACAGGGGGAUAGUCAAUAGAAAUGUUGAAUAAUACCCCAUACGAUCUUUGAAUAGCAUUAUUUAAAGAAGAAAGUUCCGGCGGUAGAAGAUGGGCAUGCGUGACAUUAGUUAGUUGGUGAGGUAACGGCUCACCAAGACUUCGAUGUCUAGGGGCUCUGAGAGGAUUGUC
RNAcentral lists this ribosomal RNA (253 nucleotides) under uncultured bacterium. RNAcentral describes it as "partial 16S ribosomal RNA". It matches the Rfam family "Bacterial small subunit ribosomal RNA", at positions 57 to 305 of the family's 1533-position model. The record is from RNAcentral.